CAGUCGCCGCGGUAAAACGUAGGUGGCGAGCGUUGUCCGGAAUCAUUGGGCGUAAAGGGAGCGCAGGCGGGCAUGUAAGUCUUUCUUAAAAGUUCGGGGCUCGACCCCGUGAUGGGAAAGAAACUGCAUGUCUUGAGUACAGGAGAGGAAAGCGGAAUUCCCAGUGUAGCGGUGAAAUGCGUAGAUAUUGGGAGGAACACCAGUGGCGAAGGCGGCUUUCUGGACUGCAACUGACGCUGAGGCUCGAAAGCCAGGGGAGCGAACGGGAUUAGAUACCCCAGUAGUCCCUGUCUCUUAUACC
RNAcentral lists this ribosomal RNA (301 nucleotides) under uncultured bacterium. Its description in RNAcentral is "partial 16S ribosomal RNA". It matches the Rfam family "Bacterial small subunit ribosomal RNA", at positions 509 to 808 of the family's 1533-position model. The record is from RNAcentral.